This 68-nucleotide transfer RNA is filed under the name Palaemon macrodactylus. Its description in RNAcentral is "tRNA-Ser". It matches the Rfam family "tRNA". From Rfam's summary of the family: Transfer RNA (tRNA) molecules are approximately 80 nucleotides in length. Their secondary structure includes four short double-helical elements and three loops (D, anti-codon, and T loops). Lineage: Eukaryota; Metazoa; Arthropoda; Malacostraca; Decapoda; Palaemonidae. RNAcentral also lists the same sequence under 2 other names. The record is from RNAcentral.
GAUUACUUAUUUUUGGAAAACAAAUGUUUUGAAAGCAUGGAAAAGAGGUUCGAACCCUCUAGUAAUCU